Molecule: ribosomal RNA, 253 nt
Filed under: uncultured bacterium
Lineage: Bacteria
Description: partial 16S ribosomal RNA
Rfam family: Bacterial small subunit ribosomal RNA
Source: RNAcentral
UACGUAGGUGGCAAGCGUUGUCCGGAUUUACUGGGCGUAAAGAGCGCGCAGGCGGUCGUUCAAGUCGAGUGUGAAAGCCCCCGGCUCAACUGGGGAGGGUCACUCGAUACUGAUCGACUCGAAGGCAGGAGAGGGAAGUGGAAUUCCCGGUGUAGUGGUGAAAUGCGUAGAUAUCGGGAGGAACACCAGUGGCGAAGGCGACUUCCUGGCCUGUUCUUGACGCUGAGGCGCGAAAGCGUGGGGAGCAAACAGG